GCAUAGCCGAGUUGAGAGACUGAUCGGCCACAUUGGGACUGAGACACGGCCCAAACUCCUACGGGAGGCAGCAGUAGGGAAUUUUUCCACAAUGGACGCAAGUCUGAUGGAGCAACGCCGCGUGAGUGAAGAAGGUUUUCGGAUCGUAAAGCUCUGUUGUUGGUGAAGAAGGAUAGAGGUAGUAACUGGCCUUUAUUUGACGGUAAUCAACCAGAAAGUCACGGGCUAACUACGUGCCAGCAGCCGCGGUAAAAU
Molecule: ribosomal RNA, 255 nt
Filed under: uncultured Lactobacillus sp.
Lineage: Bacteria; Bacillati; Bacillota; Bacilli; Lactobacillales; Lactobacillaceae
Description: partial 16S ribosomal RNA
Rfam family: Bacterial small subunit ribosomal RNA
Source: RNAcentral